Molecule: ribosomal RNA, 237 nt
Filed under: uncultured bacterium
Lineage: Bacteria
Description: partial 16S ribosomal RNA
Rfam family: Bacterial small subunit ribosomal RNA
Source: RNAcentral
UGGGUGAGUAAAGUGGCGUACGGGUGAGUAACACGUGGAUAAUCUACCUCUUAGUGGGGAAUAACUUUGGGAAACCGAAGCUAAUACCGCAUAAGCCUGGAAAGGGAAAGUCGCAAGACGCUGAGAGAGGAGUCCGCGGCCGAUUAGCUAGUUGGCAGGGUAAAAGCCUACCAAGGCUAUGAUCGGUAGCCGGCCUGAGAGGGCACACGGCCACACUGGCACUGAAACACGGGCCAG